This 1507-nucleotide ribosomal RNA is filed under the name Cutibacterium acnes SK137. RNAcentral's name for it is "16S ribosomal RNA". It matches the Rfam family "Bacterial small subunit ribosomal RNA". The record is from RNAcentral. Lineage: Bacteria; Bacillati; Actinomycetota; Actinomycetes; Propionibacteriales; Propionibacteriaceae.
UUUCCAUUGGAGAGUUUGAUCCUGGCUCAGGACGAACGCUGGCGGCGUGCUUAACACAUGCAAGUCGAACGGAAAGGCCCUGCUUUUGUGGGGUGCUCGAGUGGCGAACGGGUGAGUAACACGUGAGUAACCUGCCCUUGACUUUGGGAUAACUUCAGGAAACUGGGGCUAAUACCGGAUAGGAGCUCCUGCUGCAUGGUGGGGGUUGGAAAGUUUCGGCGGUUGGGGAUGGACUCGCGGCUUAUCAGCUUGUUGGUGGGGUAGUGGCUUACCAAGGCUUUGACGGGUAGCCGGCCUGAGAGGGUGACCGGCCACAUUGGGACUGAGAUACGGCCCAGACUCCUACGGGAGGCAGCAGUGGGGAAUAUUGCACAAUGGGCGGAAGCCUGAUGCAGCAACGCCGCGUGCGGGAUGACGGCCUUCGGGUUGUAAACCGCUUUCGCCUGUGACGAAGCGUGAGUGACGGUAAUGGGUAAAGAAGCACCGGCUAACUACGUGCCAGCAGCCGCGGUGAUACGUAGGGUGCGAGCGUUGUCCGGAUUUAUUGGGCGUAAAGGGCUCGUAGGUGGUUGAUCGCGUCGGAAGUGUAAUCUUGGGGCUUAACCCUGAGCGUGCUUUCGAUACGGGUUGACUUGAGGAAGGUAGGGGAGAAUGGAAUUCCUGGUGGAGCGGUGGAAUGCGCAGAUAUCAGGAGGAACACCAGUGGCGAAGGCGGUUCUCUGGGCCUUUCCUGACGCUGAGGAGCGAAAGCGUGGGGAGCGAACAGGCUUAGAUACCCUGGUAGUCCACGCUGUAAACGGUGGGUACUAGGUGUGGGGUCCAUUCCACGGGUUCCGUGCCGUAGCUAACGCUUUAAGUACCCCGCCUGGGGAGUACGGCCGCAAGGCUAAAACUCAAAGGAAUUGACGGGGCCCCGCACAAGCGGCGGAGCAUGCGGAUUAAUUCGAUGCAACGCGUAGAACCUUACCUGGGUUUGACAUGGAUCGGGAGUGCUCAGAGAUGGGUGUGCCUCUUUUGGGGUCGGUUCACAGGUGGUGCAUGGCUGUCGUCAGCUCGUGUCGUGAGAUGUUGGGUUAAGUCCCGCAACGAGCGCAACCCUUGUUCACUGUUGCCAGCACGUUAUGGUGGGGACUCAGUGGAGACCGCCGGGGUCAACUCGGAGGAAGGUGGGGAUGACGUCAAGUCAUCAUGCCCCUUAUGUCCAGGGCUUCACGCAUGCUACAAUGGCUGGUACAGAGAGUGGCGAGCCUGUGAGGGUGAGCGAAUCUCGGAAAGCCGGUCUCAGUUCGGAUUGGGGUCUGCAACUCGACCUCAUGAAGUCGGAGUCGCUAGUAAUCGCAGAUCAGCAACGCUGCGGUGAAUACGUUCCCGGGGCUUGUACACACCGCCCGUCAAGUCAUGAAAGUUGGUAACACCCGAAGCCGGUGGCCUAACCGUUGUGGGGGAGCCGUCGAAGGUGGGACUGGUGAUUAGGACUAAGUCGUAACAAGGUAGCCGUACCGGAAGG